Molecule: ribosomal RNA, 468 nt
Filed under: uncultured bacterium
Lineage: Bacteria
Description: partial 16S ribosomal RNA
Rfam family: Bacterial small subunit ribosomal RNA
Source: RNAcentral
GACGAACGCUGGCGGCGUGCUUAACACAUGCAAGUCGAACGGAAAGGCCCUGCUUUUGUGGGGUGCUCGAGUGGCGAACGGGUGAGUAACACGUGAGUAACCUGCCCUUGACUUUGGGAUAACUUCAGGAAACUGGGGCUAAUACCGGAUAGGAGCUCCUGCUGCAUGGUGGGGGUUGGAAAGUUUCGGCGGUUGGGGAUGGACUCGCGGCUUAUCAGCUUGUUGGUGGGGUAGUGGCUUACCAAGGCUUUGACGGGUAGCCGGCCUGAGAGGGUGACCGGGGACAGUGGGGCUGAGGUACGGCCCAGACUCCUACGGGAGGCAGCAGUGGGGAAUAUUGCACAAUGGGCGGAAGCCUGAUGCAGCAACGCCGCGUGCGGGAUGACGGCCUUCGGGUUGUAAACCGCUUUCGCCUGUGACGAAGCGUGAGUGACGGUAAUGGGUAAAGAAGCACCGGCUAACUACGUG